AGCAACUCGUCACACUAUCACUAUCCACUGUUUGGUACUGCUACGUUUUGGAUUAUCUUAUGGCAUGUAUAGAAUAGACUAGUGGCGGAAGAAUAUUUUUGGUUAAUGUAUAUAAGCCAUGCGAAAAUGGCAUCUUUUGAAUAUUUACUUAGUGAAGUUUAAAUUUUAUCUCUGGCUGUGCUUAGUACUUAUUUAAAUGAAUGAUCUUAAUUUCAAGAAAAAGUUUAAAAUUUUACUGUUCUGACAUGAGUUACAAGUCCGGUAAUGCCCCUUACCUAUUCUGGCGACGGUUACGGGAUAGGGGUGUUACAAAGUGUGCGAUACCGAGAUAGCUUCGAUUAAUUGAGAUGGCACUAAGUGUGCAGAAUCAUUCUAGCUUCGACUAAACCUUAAAGCACUAAGUGUGCGGAUGCUUAAAGCAUGAAUAAUCUUCGAAAAGUCUUAAAGUAUCUAGACGAGAGGUGAGAAUGAAAAUGAAUAAAUACGAGAAGGUUUCGGUACGUACAAUACCUAUGUGGCAGAUGAUAUUAUGUAUAUGAAGUUCUUGGAUUGGUAUAAAAAUAUGAAUUGUGUUGGCAUAGAAUUGAUAGAUGAAUUGAUAACUAUUAAGUGUUUAUGUGAUGAUGUUUUAUAUUUUAUAAGCUGUUAAUGAUAUUUAGUACGAGCUUACUGAGCUUUUGAAAGCUUACUUUGUGUGUGUUUACAUUGUUUUAUAGAUAUCAAAGCUGUUGUGAGCUCGAGGAUCGUUGAGGAUCGUCACCACACUAUCAAAUCUCAUUUUGGUACCUUUUGAAAUUGUAUAUAGUAAAGUAUGGCAUGUAUAGGCUAGAAGUACUUUGGAUAGGUUUUGUAAUGUUUAUAUUUAGCCAUGUGAUAUGGCUUGAUAUGGUUGUGUUUAUGUAUUGAUUUUAGUAUAUGAAAUGUAAUGCAAGAUGAUCUAUUUGAUGUGUUCAUGAAUGGUUAAGAGAAAUGGUAAGUUUUGGUAUGAG
Molecule: long non-coding RNA, 989 nt
Filed under: Gossypium barbadense (sea-island cotton)
Lineage: Eukaryota; Viridiplantae; Streptophyta; Magnoliopsida; Malvales; Malvaceae
Description: long non-coding RNA (GBAR_LNC001658)
Source: RNAcentral